GGGUAGCGUAGGCGGCUGAUUAAGUCAGCGGUGAAAGGUAGCAGCUUAACUGUUUUACAUGCCGUUGAUACUGGUUAGCUUGAGUUGACAGAAGGCAGAUAGAAUUCCUGGUGUAGCGGUGAAAUGCUUAGAUACCAGGAGGAAUACCGAUUGCGAAGGCAGUCUGCUGCAGUCACACUGACGCUGAGGCUCGAAGGUGCGGGGAUCAAACAGGAUUAGAUACCCCCAGU
RNAcentral lists this ribosomal RNA (230 nucleotides) under uncultured bacterium. RNAcentral describes it as "partial 16S ribosomal RNA". It matches the Rfam family "Bacterial small subunit ribosomal RNA", at positions 565 to 792 of the family's 1533-position model. The record is from RNAcentral.